GACGAACGCUGGCGGCGUGCUUAACACAUGCAAGUCGAGCGGUAAGGCCCUUUCGGGGGUACACGAGCGGCGAAUGGGUGAGUAACACGUGGGUGACCUGCCUUUAGCUCUGGGAUAAGCCUGGGAAACUGGGUCUAAUACCGGAUAUGACCCUAUGGCGCAUGUUGUGGGGUGGAAAGCCUUGUGCGGCUAGGGAUGGGCCCGCGGCCUAUCAGCUUGUUGGUGGGGUGAUGGCCACCAAGGCGACGACGGGUAGCCGGCCUGAGAGGGCGACCGGCCACACUGGGACUGAGACACGGCCCAGACUCCUACGGGAGGCAGCAGUGGGGAAUCUUGCGCAAUGGGCGAAAGCCUGACGCAGCGACGCCGCGUGAGGGAUGACGGCCUCGUGU
Molecule: ribosomal RNA, 392 nt
Filed under: uncultured bacterium
Lineage: Bacteria
Description: bacterial SSU rRNA
Rfam family: Bacterial small subunit ribosomal RNA
Source: RNAcentral